This 356-nucleotide ribosomal RNA is filed under the name uncultured bacterium. RNAcentral describes it as "partial 16S ribosomal RNA". It matches the Rfam family "Bacterial small subunit ribosomal RNA", at positions 338 to 693 of the family's 1533-position model. The record is from RNAcentral.
CCUACGGGGGGCAGCAGUGAGGAAUAUUGGUCAAUGGGCGAGAGCCUGAACCAGCCAAGUCGCGUGAGGGAGUACUGCCCUAUGGGUUGUAAACCUCUUUUGUCGGGGAGCAAAAGCCGGACGUGUCCGGCUGUGAGAGUACCCGAAGAAAAAGCAUCGGCUAACUCCGUGCCAGCAGCCGCGGUAAUACGGAGGGUGCGAGCGUUAUCCGGAUUUCUGGGGUUGAAAGGGUGCGCAGGCGGAUUUUUAAGUCAGCGGUCCAAUCGUGGGGCGCAACCCCAUCCAGCCGUUGAAACUGGGGAUGGAGAGGGUGCGAGAGGGAUGGGGAAUGCGUGGUGUAGCGGUGAAAUGCAUAG